CAUCCAACGCGAGUUUUUCAUAUUGAAAUUUUCCACAACUCUUACAUCUUGCAUUAAGCCGUCGUCUGACACGUAAACGGUGCAUUAAAGUUCAGAGUCUGUGUUGAACAUAUUCUGCCCAUCAUGGCCCUCACUUUAUCGUGUGUUGUAUUUUCCUUUUUUCUGGCCCCCAGUUUUUUUGGAAUUGUUACUGCUCCGCUGGCUGUAAAGAUAGAUGUUCGAGAACCAUUUCGGACUGAAUUGUUCCAGUAUUUAAGGGAAAUCAGUGCGCUGGCUCUGGCACUAUGAACUGUCAAGUUGCAUGGAGCCAAUUGGGUGAUUUUAGAUGUCAAGCAGCAUUGAAUAAUUUCAACGCUCUCAAUGAUGAUGAAAAGUCUCUGUGUCCAAAUGCUAAAAAGGGUUUCUGUAGAUUCACCGAUUACAACUGCGUCGUUUUAGUGCCGAUGCCGGAAGAAGAUGGAGCCACUGCAACUAUAUUCAAACAAGUGCCAUUGAAGAAGUGUGUAGAAAAAGUGCGUGGAUUUGCCCAGCAAUGUAGAGAAUUUAGAGAUUUCAUAGGUGCUAUAAGAACUAAAAGCAAUGAGCGAAGAUAUUUCAAAAUUUCUUCAAAAUUGGAACUGUCAAAAAUAAACUGACUAACAUUUUGUGCCGUAAUAAAUAAGCUAUUUGCUAAUUUGUCGAAACUGACUAUCAUAAUAAACCCAAUAUUUUAGAAUAAAUGCGUAAGACUGUUAACAGGAAGAUACCUCAAGGUAAGCUACUUAUUUAGAGGAGAAAAUUGUAUUUUACGGGCUCAGUAGAAAGCCUUCUCUUGGUUCCUAGAGAAUAAAUUGCGGAAGGUUUCGAACAAGUUUUGUGCCAAUCCAGGGCAUAAUAAUGCAUUAAAAUGU
RNAcentral lists this long non-coding RNA (890 nucleotides) under Bemisia tabaci. Its description in RNAcentral is "lncRNA ENSASIAIIG008013". The record is from RNAcentral. Lineage: Eukaryota; Metazoa; Arthropoda; Insecta; Hemiptera; Aleyrodidae.